This 301-nucleotide ribosomal RNA is filed under the name uncultured bacterium. RNAcentral's name for it is "partial 16S ribosomal RNA". It matches the Rfam family "Bacterial small subunit ribosomal RNA", at positions 509 to 807 of the family's 1533-position model. The record is from RNAcentral.
CAGCAGCCGCGGUAAUACGUAGGUGGCAAGCGUUGUCCGGAAUUAUUGGGCGUAAAGGGCUCGCAGGCGGUUUCUUAAGUCUGAUGUGAAAGCCCCCGGCUCAACCGGGGAGGGUCAUUGGAAGCUGGGAAACUUGAGUGCAGAAGAGGAGAGUGGAAUUCCACGUGUAGCGGUGAAAUGCGUAGAGAUGUGGAGGAACACCAGUGGCGAAGGCGACUCUCUGGUCUGUAACUGACGCUGAGGAGCGAAAGCGUGGGGAGCGAACAGGAUUAGAUACCCCGGUAGUCCCUGUCUCUUAUAC